CGGGGGCCUCUGCUACUGCUGCUGCCUUCGUGGUCGCCGCCGCCUCCGCUACCGCCGCCGCCGCUACUUAGACGAUCCUGCAGCGCCAACAUCUUCAUGAAAUUGGUCUGAAAACGGAAGAACGAAAGGCUCGCAAGUCGAGCAGUUAUCCCUCUGGCACAUCUUACCACACUGCUGACGCACUACAGGGAAAGGUCGUCCCGCCGUGGGAGGGACAGGACAGCCCGGUGGGAGAAGACGAGACAAAGGACGAGGAAGGCAACUGUUAACCCUACAGGCGCUUUACGGGAAGACAAAAACCGAUGCACCGGGAGUUGUAUUAGUCUACAAAGUGCAGAGCUCACAGAGGGACUGCAGAGGGACCACCAGGACCAUACACCAGCCCACCAAUCGUCCGACAUCGGGAAGUCAGUGGUGAACUCGGCACCAAUAGGACCACAGAUAAAAUUAAUUAAUCUGUUAGGCACAAGUGGCGGCGUCAGGAAUCUCCUGGGACUAUUUAGGCACCAGUGACACCACCAGAAAGACAUCGAGGGAAUCUUAGAUCACCUCUGGCACCACUGUAGCGAAUCAACACUGGUACUAAUUGAACGCUAUUAGAGCUACUUGAACACUACACAGUAACAUUGCCUUUUGUACAAGUUAUAUGGAAAACAGAUAGAUAACUACAGGUAUCCUUGGAACCACGAGGCCUGCAUAAUUAGACUGGUAAUUCGAUAGGACGACCACUGCAUGCCAUCGGAACCACUGCACUGUGAUGUUACUUAGUGAAUGAGCAGUGAGGACGAACACCAGUAGCGGCAUUAAGCACAGAGGCACCAGCGGGACGUGGACAACACGGUGGGGGGUGACACAGGCGCUGGACUAAUAACAGUACAGUUGAUUGAUCUUAAGUUUGGGAACACUGUUAUUUGUUUCUCA
Long non-coding RNA from Scylla paramamosain (green mud crab), 921 nucleotides. RefSeq lists it as uncharacterized. The transcript is spliced from 5 exons. Lineage: Eukaryota; Metazoa; Arthropoda; Malacostraca; Decapoda; Portunidae. The record is from RefSeq and is a predicted model, not a curated record.